This 539-nucleotide unclassified non-coding RNA is filed under the name Hevea brasiliensis (rubber tree). Lineage: Eukaryota; Viridiplantae; Streptophyta; Magnoliopsida; Malpighiales; Euphorbiaceae. The record is from RNAcentral.
GAUCAGUGCCCAGAAUCACAACUAUGCGGUAGACCCUGCGAGUCUUCCAGCUGGUGUUGAAGUAACACACAUCAACCUGAAUGAUAAUAGUUGUGCUGGUCUUGCCUGCCCCGAUUUAAACAUUUUGUCUCUUCAGUACCACCCAGAGUCAUCUCCUGGUCCCCACGACUCGGAUUCUGUUUUUGGGGAGUUUGUGAUGCUAAUGAAGCAAUAUAAAUUGAAUACUGGUGCUUAGCGCAUCUAACAUCGGGAGAUGCUGGAUCGUAAGAGGAGCUUUUAUAGCGAUAUUUGGCCAUGACAAGUGAGCAAAUCUCCCUUUGUUUCUGUUCUUCCAUCCUUUUUCAGGCAGGGAGAACCCACCUUCUAUAAGAUUCUCAAAUUGAGCGCUAGUUUUAUGUGGCACAAAUUUUACUUAAUUGUUUAGCAUGAAGCUGCACUUCCUAUAUAUUUGUUGUGUGACCAUCAGACAUAAAGUGAGUUGUAAGGUCCUUCAAUAAGUUGAAUAUUGCCACUUAUGGUGUCAUGUAGCAACAUUCAUU